This 468-nucleotide ribosomal RNA is filed under the name uncultured bacterium. Its description in RNAcentral is "partial 16S ribosomal RNA". It matches the Rfam family "Bacterial small subunit ribosomal RNA", at positions 28 to 507 of the family's 1533-position model. The record is from RNAcentral.
GACGAACGCUGGCGGCGUGCUUAACACAUGCAAGUCGAACGGAAAGGCCCUGCUUUUGUGGGGUGCUCGAGUGGCGAACGGGUGAGUAACACGUGAGUAACCUGCCCUUGACUUUGGGAUAACUUCAGGAAACUGGGGCUAAUACCGGAUAGGAGCUCCUGCUGCAUGGUGGGGGUUGGAAAGUUUCGGCGGUUGGGGAUGGACUCGCGGCUUAUCAGCUUGUUGGUGGGGUAGGGGCUGACCAAGGCUUUGACGGGUAGCCGGCCUGAGAGGGGGACCGGCCUCAAUGGGACUGAGAUACGGCCCAGAAUCCUACGGGAGGCAGCAGUGGGGAAUAUUGCAGAAUGGGCGGAAGCCUGAUGCAGCAACGCCGCGUGCGGGAUGACGGCCUUCGGGUUGUAAACCGCUUUCGCCUGUGACGAAGCGUGAGUGACGGUAAUGGGUAAAGAAGCACCGGCUAACUACGUG